GGACUCUUGAAUUUUCCAAAACCUAUACUUGUUCAACUGAUUGGUAAAUAAUCACCUUUAAUAUCUUACAGAGAAAGAGCUAUUUGAGAAUGGAAAGAACAAGCUAGGAUACAACCAUAGAGGCAGAAGGAUGUAGGAAGAAGAGGAACGGGUGAAGUCUUGUGUCAUACAGGACUCGGUUUUUCUGUUUCCUGCUGGCUACCACGCUCCUCGUCACUUCCUUGACCCCCUUGAUAUCCAUUCUGCAAAAUCUUGUUUUCUGAAGGCAAAUUCUUUUUGGCUUUCCGACUACCUUCAACCUUCCAUAGAUCCCAAACUCGGGUUUUCGGUGGAGGAGUUGCCUCUGCAAUUGGAGCAACAAGUCCAGGCUUCCCAUCAUCAAUAACUUCAUCGAUCAAACCAUAUUCCUUAGCUUCCCAAGGAUUCAUAAAAUUAUCACGAUCUGUGUCGAAUUCAAUCUGCUGUAGUGGCUUUCCUGUUAUUCUAGAAAAAAUUUUGUUUAGCUUAAUCUUGUGAUAUGCCAUUUCUCGUAUCCGUAUGCUCAUCUCAGUUGCUUUUCCUCCAGCUGUUCCAAGAGGUUGAUGGAUCAUCACUCUUCCAUUGGGCAUGCAGAAUCGCUUUCCCUUGGAACCAGAAGCUAGAAGAAAUGCUCCCAUGGAUGCAGCCAGUCCCAGACAAACAGUUGAAACAUCAGCCUUGCACA
RNAcentral lists this unclassified non-coding RNA (703 nucleotides) under Hevea brasiliensis (rubber tree). The record is from RNAcentral. Lineage: Eukaryota; Viridiplantae; Streptophyta; Magnoliopsida; Malpighiales; Euphorbiaceae.